RNAcentral lists this long non-coding RNA (1036 nucleotides) under Heterocephalus glaber (naked mole-rat). RNAcentral's name for it is "lncRNA (ENSHGLG00100045569.1)". The record is from RNAcentral. Lineage: Eukaryota; Metazoa; Chordata; Mammalia; Rodentia; Bathyergidae.
GGCUGGAGUGUGAACAUCAUCGGAUCAACCCAUUAAUGACUUCAUAGCUGACUGAGUAUUAGCAGGUGGGAACAAGUUAGAGAAAGCAGGUCACCAGAGAUGCCCUUGGAGAGUGUAUCGUGUGCCCAAGCCUUCCUCUCUCUGCAGUGCUUCCUCGCUCACUCUGCCUCCUCACGGCCAUAAGAAAACACCUUGCUCAUCACGUGGAACACGCCGAAUCAGCCCGCUGCAGACAGGCAGCCACCUGGUUCCACACUACAAAGAUGCAGAGGACACCGGAACACCAGACCAAGAUACUGAGUCCCGCUGCUCCCCACCAAGAGGUAGGGGCUUCUGAGCCACCAUGCCACUGCUCCUGGACCUGAGGAAGGGGCUUCCCGGCCACCAUCCCUCCCGCUGCUCCCAGCCCACAGGAAAGAGCUUUUGAGCCACCAUCCCUACCGCUGCUCCUGGCCCCUGUCCCACCUCUCCCAGCUCAGAGGAGGUAAUCCCUGCAGGAGCCAACAGCACCCCCCCAGUCGAAAUGAGAAAACACGUAAAUAAGUCUCAAAACCAGACUUCCAGAUCACCUACAGCAACCCCAAAGGGAAAUGAGAUGGAACACUCUGAUACUCAACCACCUGGACCCACUGAACUGGCAACAAAAGGGGAUCUGGAAAAAAUGAAAUCAGAAAUAAUUUCUCAGAUAAUAGGAGAAAUUGUGCCCCUAGUGCAAGACAUGAUUAAUAAAUCUAGAAAGGAGCUCAGGAACAUGAUGGAAUCCCAAAAUGGGAAACAAAUGGAAUCCAUAAAACAGAUACAAAUAGAUUUCCAGGACAUGAAAAACUCCACUGAAAGUCUACACAGCAGAAUGAGCCAAUGUGAGGACAGAAUUUCAGAUAUAGAAGAUAAGAUUGCAAUUAGUGACCAGGAAAAGAAAAAUUGCUUCAAAAUUAUAAGGGAACAUGAGAAAUCAAUCCAGCAGCUGCUAGAUGAUGCAAAGAAUAACAUAAGACUGAUUGGAGUCAAUGAAGAAACAGGAGAGAGUGCAGAUGAC